UACGGAGGGUGCAAACGUUGCUCGGAAUCACUGGGCGUAAAGGGUGCGUAGGCGGGUCUUUAAGUCAGGGGUGAAAUCCUGGAGCUCAACUCCAGAACUGCCUUUGAUACUGAAGAUCUUGAGUUCGGGAGAGGUGAGUGGAACUGCGAGUGUAGAGGUGAAAUUCGUAGAUAUUCGCAAGAACACCAGUGGCGAAGGCGGCUCACUGGCCCGAUACUGACGCUGAGGCACGAAAGCGUGGGGAGCAAACAGG
RNAcentral lists this ribosomal RNA (253 nucleotides) under uncultured bacterium. RNAcentral's name for it is "partial 16S ribosomal RNA". It matches the Rfam family "Bacterial small subunit ribosomal RNA", at positions 524 to 776 of the family's 1533-position model. The record is from RNAcentral.